Molecule: long non-coding RNA, 3677 nt
Filed under: Apis mellifera (honey bee)
Lineage: Eukaryota; Metazoa; Arthropoda; Insecta; Hymenoptera; Apidae
Description: uncharacterized LOC100577278, transcript variant X3
Source: RNAcentral
GAAACCGCGCGCUGUGUGAUACAUUUCAAACGAGCCUCGGUUAUUAAUUCCCGUGUGUCGAUCAUCUUGCGAUCUGCGAGAGAGAGAGAAGGAAUUAUUCGAAGGAGGAGCAAGAUUUGGAAAAUAUUAUUUCAAUUCAAGAGAGAAAUGAUUGUAGUUUUAGGAGCAAGUUUAAUAUAUACGUAGAGGAGAGAGAGAUUUAUUAUUAAUAAUAAAGAUAAAGAGAAAGGAGUUAGUUAGUUAGUUUUUACUGGGCCCUCAACGUUGUAACGCAACGUUGAUGAAUUCCAGUGACAAUGGAGAAGGCCCUUCGGAUCGGGCUCGUAAAUCGAGGCUCUCGUCAAUGGACGGGGGUUGGCUACCCUCUCUCUUUUUUUUUUUUUAUUUUUUCAAAGAGGACGGGCGCGAUCGAAAUGCACCUCGUUUGCCUUGUGCUCGUCGCUUCCGGCGUAACGAACGGGAUCGUCGUUUCAUCGAGCCGCCUCGUCGACUGACGUUGAUCGUCGCGCACAAAGUGUCGAAAGCGAGUUAACUAACAUUUCCUACAUCUUUCCCCUGGAAAUUUAUAAUUUAUUUUUCCUUUUUCUUCUUCCUUUCCCUUGAAAAUAAAUAACGGCAGGUAAAAAACGUUCUUGUAUUUCGCACGAUAUAUUGCGAAUAUAUUCGACCUGCUCGAAACUGGUGAUAUGAUUGAUUCUCCUUGGUGGCAUUUGCAGAUAACGAAACGUGUGCAAAACGGGUGAUCGGGUGGGCGGAAGUUCAUUAUCUUCGUUCCAAUUUUCGUCUGUCGCGAUGGGCGACGAUUAGUCAAAGUUGAGCUGAACGACGUAUGGAAAUUUCCGAUAGGAAAAGUGCGGGAAGAAGAUCGAAGAAGAAACCGUUAUUUUCUCUCAAUCGCUCUGUUAAAUCGAAACAAGAGAUAAAGCGAGUAAUAAGCGGUCUCGUUAUUUUAAAUGAAUUUGUUCGUUCGUUUUAUUCCCUCGAAGAUUCUUCUUCUCGACGAAGAAAAGUUGCAACUCUCUUUCGAGGAAGAAAAGAAGAGGAGGAAGAAUAUAUGCGAACGAAAUGAUUCGAAUCCAAGAUCGAAACACGAAGCACCGAUCUUCUCCUCCUUCUUCUUCUUCUUCCCUUUUCGAAACACUGUAAUUCAUCCGCGAUAGUUCUAACGCUGGGCCAUCUUUUAUAAUACCAGUGUAAAACCCGGAAUAAUAGGCCUUGCAGUGCCGCGAGAUUUUCGUUGGUUUACCGUUUUUCUGGCAACCGAUCAUUUACUCGAUCAUCGUACCGAUGAACCAGCCAUGGAUGCAUCCUUCAACUUUCACAUUCCUUCGGAGAAUCGCGAUGCAUCGAGAUCCUCGAAUCGAUACCCAAUUUAUUCGAAAGCGAGAAACAAACAUUUAACGCAUCUCAGAGAAUCUCUUCUUCCUCGAAGGAAUUCUCUUAAAAAGAAAAAAGAGAAAAAAGAAUCGAAGAGACCGCCCAACUACGCAUCUGCACAAUUUCGCAAGUCGAGAGUCAGGGGGCGAAGAGAGGCGAGUGCAAGGUUCUUCUCGCGAGAGAGGCGCGUAAUUGCGAAUCGGCGGUACUUUGGAGGGGAGAGAGAGGAGGAGGAGGAGGUAGAGGUUGCCGAUGGCAACGUGACCGCGAUCAGCCGCGCUAUUCAACCGCGUAUCCAAUAUUCGACAGGGAAGCCGGUGAGGUGUUGCGGUAAUACACGAUCGGCGGAGGAAUGCCAUUUGCCGGUGCUUGAUUUAUGCAUUACAGAAUAUAUAUAGCGGAGACAACCGUUGCCGCGGCCCGUGGGGGAUUCGUCGAGGGCGUGGAUCGGGGCCAACGCCACGCGAUUCCUCCUCCACUCGAAGAGAGAAUCAGGGAUUCUCGCAGGGACACCCGGUACACACGCGCGAGGAACGCACGAUUCUUCAUUCUCCACGUUGGCCAUUUAUGGGUGGCGUGCCACUUGACAGGACGCACGGCGUCACGGGGUCUCCUCCCUUCCAGUCUCGUGGAUUGGAAAGGAACGCGAUAACGUGUCCAUCGUUUCGGAAGUUUCGGGCCCUUGAAAUUUUCUUGGCGAACGCACCCUUUCUUCGCAAAGGAUCGGACUGCAAAGUGAACGCCGGUCCCACGACCGACGAGGAAUCGACACUCUCGCAUCGGUUACGUUUCGAGGGUGCGAUCUCCCCUCGAGUUUUUCGAGAGGCGUGCAAUGGUCGAGAGUACCUCCUUGACGAGGAAGGACGAGGAAGGAAAGAUCAAACGUUUCGAAGUUUCUCUCCCUUGUUUGGAUCCAACCUGGAGGAGGGCAGAGCAACGACUUUUAAAACGCAAUUUAAAACGCCGUUGCUGCCGCUUUUGUGAAAAUAAUCAAGCACUCUCCGUGCUCCGGUGUCCCAUGUGAUUCGAUCGGUUCCUCGGAUCGUGGAACUUUUUAAACCGGCGUCCGGUUUACAGGCGGUGGAGGGUGGAGGGAGGAGCCGUGGAAAGGGAUUUUCCAAGGCAAGGAAAAGCGGCGCGAUCGGGCGGGAGUUUAAAUUAGAUUUCGUACUUCCGAGACGCUACAAGAACCUUAAAAGAGGAGUUCACCGUCUUUCUCGAUCGAUCGGUCGGUUCUAUCGAUUCGAAGGAAUCGUUCGUGAUCGACAGCCGCACAGACAGAACCACUUGAUCCGUCCACGAAUCUGUCGAUAUUUUCUGCUUUACCGAUCGAUCUAUAUCGCGGAAAUACGUAUGGAAUAUCUCUAAUGAUCAGACGUUCCGGUAGAUACAACAGAUGUGGAUCACGCAAUGGAUUUCUGCAAUACCAACCGAUCACUUUUUCUUAAAUCAGUGGUUCUCAACCUCUAAGUAAUGAAGAAAGAAGAUUGCUGUUAUUUAGUCUUAGAAUUUUAAUAUAAUUGCGUUAUCAAGGAUGAUCAGAACAAUUCCUCUACGGCAAAUUAUAACAAUUAUUAAUUAUUUUUAAUUUUGUAUGAAAAAGAAGAGGCGCAAGAUAUUUUAAAAAAAAAAAGGAUUGCAACAGUGAUAGAUGAUCUUGUUAAUCAAUAUAUAAUAUUAUUGAAAGAAAUUGUAAUCGUUCGAUAAUCCUAUGAAAACUUUUUUUCCUCGAGCGGAUUUUCUACUUAGAAAACGACACAAGACGAGUAUUUAUGAGUUAUUGAUGACACGUACGCUUUCAGUAUCUUAGAGAGGAUCGUAUAAUAACGUAAUUAACGACGCGUUGACAAAUUGAAUCGGCGGCGAAUUUAUUCUUUUCAUCGUGGCUGUACCCCGGUGCUCUCGCCAUAAAUAUUUCAUGGCGGUCGGGCGGGCGGGCGGGCGUCCCCGUGUCCGUGGAAAAUCGUAGAACGUUCAAUGAUCAUCCCCCAGCCGCUGCUACACACCCUCGAAAAAUCUUCACGAGGAAACCAUGAAGAACCGAUAAUCUUUCAUCGAUCAGCAUCAGAGAGAGAGGAUAGAAGGAAACGUUUCUCGAAAAUGGAAAUCUUCUUUAGAGGGGGAAAAAAUGAAUUACGUAUAUAUAACAGGCAUGAGAGAUUUGUCUCUAAAUAUACGAAUAGAAUUCCAGGCCUAUCGUAAAACCGAAUCGACAACUUUUUUCCUUUAAUUGAUUUAAUUUAUUCAUUGACGAAUAAAGAAAUUGUUUUUUAAUUGCUUACAAAGAGAGAGAGAUUAUA